This is a long non-coding RNA of Cyprinus carpio (common carp), 1685 nucleotides long. RefSeq lists it as uncharacterized. The transcript has 3 exons. Lineage: Eukaryota; Metazoa; Chordata; Actinopteri; Cypriniformes; Cyprinidae. The record is from RefSeq and is a predicted model, not a curated record.
UGGGAUAUGUGGUUUAUUAUCCAGAGACGGUGUACAUGUGCGCCAUGAAGUUCGCUUUGAAUAAUUGUUGCGGGUGGAUUAUUAUUAUUAUUUUUUUCUUUUUGGAAUAUACAUUCACCUUUCCUUAUUUUAGCAACAACAUCGACAACAUUCUUCAAAACUUUUUAAUUCGUGUUCUACUGAAAAGAACGGCGUAAGCAGCAGCAUGAUGGUUUAAGAUGUGCCCAUCAGAAGAGAGGGAACCAUACUAUGAUCUAACAAACGUGGUCCUGAUGCUGCUGAGCCCACAGGUGUGAGAAGCCAUGACUUCUGGAGGAAUCGAUGGCUUUGUGUGGCUGAUGUCCUCAGAGACUCUGGUCUAUUUCACUGACUGCCCCACCGCCAAAGAAAAACACUGCCGCCAUCUAUAAACCAUCCCAGCGAACGGUGUAGCCUGAGCGAGCAGGUAUUGUUUUCAUCCCCGACUAAGUACAGAUCCUCUUACCCUGCCUGCUAUCAGCUGCAUACAGGAGGACAAUGUGAGCUCAUAGAGGCCUGCUCACUGACCUGGGACCAGCUUCACCACUCUUUCUCAAUGGGUUUUAAUUCAGCGGCUGAUCGGCGUCUGAUCGUUGCUCCACAGGUGAAUAGCUCACCUCCUCCUCCACCUCCUUCCUCCCUCCCUCCUUUCCUCUGCCUCUCUUGGAUGGUCACUGGAGUCAGUUAGCGGAUGGAGUUGAGUUAUGCCUGAACUUUGUGCUCCUGAGCUAUAAGCUUUUGUGACAGAAAAAGACAAACGUUCUGGAUUAUUCUGUAUCAUAUUUAAGGUAAAGUGUGAUAGCAUGAAAUGUUGUUUCAUUCAAGAUGAUGACUGUUAUCAGAUAUGUUUUUAAAUCUGUUUUUAUUGCACUCGAGUGCUUUUGUCAUGUGGUUUUUGGAGCAUCUAGAUUGGGUCUGUUUUCCAAUGAAGAUCAAAUGUGGUGGUGAUUGUUGUGUAUGAUUUCUGCCUUUAUCUGGACAAUGAAGUGCUGCAAUUUUAGAAGAGACUGUAAUAUGCAGUUUUAUAAUGCUUAUAAUCUUCCUUUUAAAAACUAAAGGUUCUUCAGUGGGUUUUUUUAAUGUCCACCAGACUUAGAUCAAUAUUUAUAUUGUUUAGAAAAGUAAUGGUGCAACAAGCUAAGCAAUUUGAUAUACUGUAUUGUUCAUAUCUUAAGCACAAACAUUGCAGGAGACAAGUUGUGUGCCAAAGUUUAAUACUUGAUGCUAGGGAUCAAGUAUGAGCAAUAGUAAUAGUGAUGGUUGUCUUAGAUAAAUGCAGUAUAUGUUUAGCAGUGUGUGUGUGUGUGUGUGUAGACCCAGAGCUCGUGCCCUGCGGCUGUGCCUCAGAUUCUCCAUCUGUUUCAAUUAAAGUGAGUGCAGGACUCACUGCACUGCCGGGUUUAAAUGUCACAGUGAGAGAGCUCUCACCCUGCCCACAAAUAACACCACUACACAACACACUCUUACAGAGCUCCUCAAUAAAUAGAUUGAGAAGGUGAAAUAUUGCACCGAUUCUUGAGACAUGAGGCCAAACAAAGCCAUACCUGCUGUCAAAUGUUUCAAAAAUUGCCACAAUUCCACUUGAUAUUAAUCAGAGAUGAUCACAAGAAGCCAUAUUUCAGUUUUCUUAACACUUUGCGAAAAGCUUUCAUUCAUUAACAUUAGUU